GACGAACGCUGGCGGCGUGCUUAACACAUGCAAGUCGAACGAGGAAACCUAGCUUGUUAGGUCGAUUAGUGGCGAACGGGUGAGUAACACGUGACUAACCUGCCCCUUUCUCUGGGAUAACGCUCCGAAAGGAGGGCUAAUACCGGAUACUCACACCGAGGACCAUGCCUUGGUAUGGAAAGGUUUUCGGAAAGGGAUGGAGUCGCGGCCUAUCAGCGUGUUGGUGAGGUAACGGCUCACCAAUGCGACGACGGGUAGCCGGCCUGAGAGGGCGACCGGCCACACUGGGACUGAGACACGGCCCAGACUCCUACGGGAGGCAGCAGUGGGGAAUAUUGCACAAUGGGCGCAAGCCUGAUGCAGCGACGCCGCGUGAGGGAUGAAGGUCUUCGGAUUGUAAACCUCUUUCAGUAGGGACGAAGCGAAAGUGACGGUACCUAAAGAAGAAGCACCGGCUAACUACGUGCCAGCAGCCGCCGUAA
This 482-nucleotide ribosomal RNA is filed under the name uncultured bacterium. Its description in RNAcentral is "partial 16S ribosomal RNA". It matches the Rfam family "Bacterial small subunit ribosomal RNA", at positions 28 to 523 of the family's 1533-position model. The record is from RNAcentral.